This is a transfer RNA of Entamoeba invadens IP1, 72 nucleotides long. It matches the Rfam family "tRNA". Rfam says of the family: Transfer RNA (tRNA) molecules are approximately 80 nucleotides in length. Their secondary structure includes four short double-helical elements and three loops (D, anti-codon, and T loops). The record is from Rfam. Lineage: Eukaryota; Evosea; Mastigamoebida; Endamoebidae.
GGCGGUUUAGCUCAGUGGCAGAGCGUCUCUCUCGUAAAGAGAAGGUCAUGGGUUCGAUCCCCAUAGUCGCCU